This is a non-coding RNA of Misgurnus anguillicaudatus (oriental weatherfish), 1016 nucleotides long. NCBI's taxonomy places the organism in Eukaryota, Metazoa, Chordata, Actinopteri, Cypriniformes, Cobitidae. The record is from RefSeq and is a predicted model, not a curated record.
AGCGGGUCUUUUUACAAGUCUGAAAUGGAUUUUCAAUCAAAUCAAUCGCAGUACUGUCAUUUUCUCAGAUUUUAAACAUGGCGAGUUCGACUUCAUGCGGUUCUGCGCAGAUAGACCGGCCUAUGACAUCGAAAUAACGCGAGAGCGGUUUUUCGAUGUCAUGCGCCGGUCGGGCUGCGCAGCGCCGCGUGACGUCGAUCAGGACAGAUGACCGUUUUACCUGACACGUGAUGUCUUCGACGCGGUAAGGAUUGAAUGCCUUUUGACAGGUUCUGCAAAACUGCUUGAAAUACACCUUUAAAAGAAAACCAAACAAUGUGAAGGCGUGGGGCUUCCUACACCAUCCUGUGACUCCAGCAUUAUGACAUUGGGAUCACUCGCUGUUACAGCGCCAUACGUUGAAUCGAACGGCCCAUCUUCCUCCUUCAUUCGCUUGUAACCUAUGUUAGUAUCAUCAUCAUCAUCCUCUAUGAGGUCCUGUUUAUGUAAUACCUCCCUCCUGUACAUGCGGUAACCCAGAAUGAAGAUACCGGCUUCUGCUGCUUGGAAGAGCGCAUAGAGCAGAGGAAACAUAUACAUGCCUCCCAUCAGCUGCGGUGGGAAGGCCAGCUUGAGGAUGGCCGUGCAGAGCUGCACGUUCUGGCAGCCUGUCUCUAAAGAGACAGUCCUCCGGCAGUUAGGGGGGAGAUCGAAGAGCGCCGCUAUGCCAUAUCCUGACGCGUAGCCGGCCAUGGGCAUAAGCACGGCAAUCAUGUACACUGAGGCGGGGAUGGUGGCCAGCAACUCCGGGCCAAGCAUUGUCCCAGUCAUGAUGAAGAGCAUCACCAGAGUGACCAGGAGAGACCAUAAGGACAUCUGAAGUGAGAGCACAAAGCACAGUAUGUGUUCCAUGGGGAUCGAACCUACAGCCUUUGCGUUGCUGACUCAAUGCUCUAAAAUGGUUUUUUGAGUCACCUUAAGGAUGAUGUCAGCUGCUCGUGAGUAUCUGUGUCUGAUCCACACCCCGAGACCGAUGG